AUUGAACGCUGGCGGCAUGCCUUACACAUGCAAGUCGAACGGUAACGGGCCUUCGGGUGCCGACGAGUGGCGCACGGGUGCGUAAUACAUCGGAACGUGCCCGAUCGUGGGGGAUAACGGGGCGAAAGCUUUGCUAAUACCGCAUACGAUCUACGGAUGAAAGCAGGGGACCGCAAGGCCUUGCGCGGACGGAGCGGCCGAUGGCAGAUUAGGUAGUUGGUGGGAUAAAAGCUUACCAAGCCGACGAUCUGUAGCUGGUCUGAGAGGUUGAUCAGCCACACUGGGACUGAGACACGGCCCAGACUCCUACGGGAGGCAGCAGUGGGGAAUUUUGGACAAUGGGCGCAAGCCUGAUCCAGCCAUGCCGCGUGCAGGAUGAAGGCCUUCGGGUUGUAAACUGCUUUUGUACGGAACGAAAAGCCUUCUUUUAAUACAGGAGGGUCAUGACGGUACCGUAAGAGUAAGCACCGGCUAACUACGUG
This 482-nucleotide ribosomal RNA is filed under the name uncultured bacterium. RNAcentral describes it as "partial 16S ribosomal RNA". It matches the Rfam family "Bacterial small subunit ribosomal RNA", at positions 30 to 507 of the family's 1533-position model. The record is from RNAcentral.